Molecule: ribosomal RNA, 760 nt
Filed under: uncultured bacterium
Lineage: Bacteria
Description: bacterial SSU rRNA
Rfam family: Bacterial small subunit ribosomal RNA
Source: RNAcentral
AGCGGCGAAAGGGAGAGUAACGCGUGGAUAUCUGCCCUGGGCUCCAGAAUAGCUACGGGAAACUGUAGGUAAUGCUGGAUAAUAUCUCCGGAUCAAAGGUGUGAUUCCGGCCGAGGAUGAGUCCGCGUCCUAUUAGAUUGUUGGUGGGGUAACGGCCUACCAAGUCGAAGAUGGGUACCGGGUGUGAGAGCAUGGCCCGGCUCACUGGGACUGAGACACUGCCCAGACGUCUACGGACGGCUGCAGUCGAGAAUCUUCCGCAAUGGGCGCAAGCCUGACGGAGCGACGCCGCGUGCGGGAUGAAGGCCUUCGGGUUGUAAACCGCUGUCAGUUGGGAGGAAAUGCUAUGGGGUUCUCUCCAUAGUUUGACCGAUCUUCAGAGGAAGUACGGGCUAAGUACGUGCCAGCAGCCGCGGUAAUACGUACCGUACGAACGUUAUUCGGAAUUACUGGGCUUAAAGAGUCCGUAGGCGGCUUUAAAGGUGAGGUGUGAAAUCCCACGGCUCAACCGUGGAAUUGCGCUUCAAACCAUAAGGCUUGAGGGAGAUAGAGGAAAGCGGAACUGAUGGUGGAGCGGUGAAAUGCGUUGAUAUCAUCAGGAACACCGGUGGCGAAAGCGGCUUUCUGGGUCUCUUCUGACGCUGAGGGACGAAAGCUAGGGGAGCGAACGGGAUUAGAUACCCCGGUAGUCCUAGCUGUAAACGAUGAGCACUAGUUCGAGGGGACCCCCACAUCCUCUUGGACGUAGCGAAAGUGUUAA